CUUGCAAGGGGGCAGCUACCAUGCAGUCGAGCGGUAACAGAUCCAGCUUGCUGGAUGCUGACGAGCGGCGGACGGGUGAGUAAUGCAUAGGAAUCUGCCCGAUAGUGGGGGAUAACCUGGGGAAACCCAGGCUAAUACCGCAUACGUCCUACGGGAGAAAGGGGGCUUCGGCUCCCGCUAUCGGAUGAGCCUAUGUCGGAUUAGCUAGUUGGUGAGGUAACGGCUCACCAAGGCGACGAUCCGUAGCUGGUCUGAGAGGAUGAUCAGCCACAUCGGGACUGAGACACGGCCCGAACUCCUACGGGAGGCAGCAGUGGGGAAUAUUGGACAAUGGGGGGAACCCUGAUCCAGCCAUGCCGCGUGUGUGAAGAAGGCCCUCGGGUUGUAAAGCACUUUCAGCGAGGAAGAACGCCUAGCGGUUAAUACCCGCUAGGAAAGACAUCACUCGCAGAAGAAGCACCGGCUAACUCCGUGCCAGCAGCCGCGGUAAUACGGAGGGUGCAAGCGUUAAUCGGAAUUACUGGGCGUAAAGCGCGCGUAGGUGGCUUGAUAAGCCGGUUGUGAAAGCCCCGGGCUCAACCUGGGAACGGCAUCCGGAACUGUCAAGCUAGAGUGCAGGAGAGGAAGGUAGAAUUCCCGGUGUAGCGGUGAAAUGCGUAGAGAUCGGGAGGAAUACCAGUGGCGAAGGCGGCCUUCUGGACUGACACUGACACUGAGGUGCGAAAGCGUGGGUAGCAAACAGGAUUAGAUACCCUGGUAGUCA
Molecule: ribosomal RNA, 763 nt
Filed under: Vreelandella aquamarina
Lineage: Bacteria; Pseudomonadati; Pseudomonadota; Gammaproteobacteria; Oceanospirillales; Halomonadaceae
Description: bacterial SSU rRNA
Rfam family: Bacterial small subunit ribosomal RNA
Source: RNAcentral